GAUGAACGCUGGCGGCGUGCUUAACACAUGCAAGUCGAACGGAAAGGCCCAAGCUUGCUUGGGUGCUCGAGUGGCGAACGGGUGAGUAACACGUGGGUGAUCUGCCCUGCACUUUGGGAUAAGCCUGGGAAACUGGGUCUAAUACCGGAUAGGACCAUCGUUUAGUGUCGGUGGUGGAAAGUUUUUCGGUGUGGGAUGAGCUCGCGGCCUAUCAGCUUGUUGGUGGGGUAAUGGCCUACCAAGGCGUCAACGGGUAGCCGGCCUGAGAGGGUGUACGGCCACAUUGGGACUGAGAUACGGCCCAGACUCCUACGGGAGGCAGCAGUGGGGAAUAUUGCACAAUGGGCGCAAGCCUGAUGCAGCGACGCCGCGUGGGGGAUGACGGCCUUCGGGUUGUAAACUCCUUUCGCCAAGGACGAAGCGUUUUGUGACGGUACUUGGAGAAGAAGCACCGGCUAACUACGUG
Molecule: ribosomal RNA, 466 nt
Filed under: uncultured bacterium
Lineage: Bacteria
Description: partial 16S ribosomal RNA
Rfam family: Bacterial small subunit ribosomal RNA
Source: RNAcentral